Vigna angularis (adzuki bean) is the source of this 1171-nucleotide long non-coding RNA. RefSeq lists it as uncharacterized. The transcript is spliced from 4 exons. The record is from RefSeq and is a predicted model, not a curated record. Lineage: Eukaryota; Viridiplantae; Streptophyta; Magnoliopsida; Fabales; Fabaceae.
GGUGCACAUGGAGAAGUAACUCACGGGCUGGGGUGCAAAAAAGAAAGAGUGGUGUCAUGUGCUGUCCAACUAGAGAGAGGUGCAUGUGCUGGCUGGAAUGAAAAACACAUCACACGACCCAUGAGAAAUUAAAUGGGAGCACAUAGCAGCAUGUAGGGACCGGUCCAACAAGCUUACGGUGCUGGAUUCUUGGAGAUUUGAUGCCACGUCUUGGAGAGAAAGGGGGGUGCAAUCCACACGUCUAGGAGCAUCUCGGUCCAACACAGCAAGCACGUGAGGUGGGCGUUCAUUCUUCAUGGAGGGGUGCACGCGGAGUAGAGGUCCAGGAGAGGACAGCACGCGUCCAGCUGACACACGUCCAGAGCAGCAACACACGUCCAACACCUUGAUUCCAGCUGCUUCAGAACACGUCCCUGAUCCACUCACGCUCCAGCAUCACCACGAUCCAACAAGCAGAAAGGGGGUGGUGUCCAGAAAGAAGAUAACGCCUAGCGUGGAGAGGUGUCGAAAGCAAAGCGGUCCAGCAUCCAAGGGGCAGCUCCCAUCCAGCACAGCAGCACAUGAGGAGGGAUUCACUAAUUCAUUUUUUGAAGGCAACACAGCCCAGCAGCUUGGUAGAAAAUUCUCAGUCCAGGGCGUUUGGAAGAGGGAGCCGUAGGAACGUUCGUCCAGCUGUGAUCUUCCUUUUGGACCGAACAGAGUUUGGAUCGGAACUGACUAAGUAGAAUUUGUUGAGUGAACCUGAGUGUAGAACGCUGUUAGAGGUCGACCCAAAACCUUGCAUUUGGGAGUUCACUGCUAUCCAGCACGCAGCAGCUGAGACGGAGGAGGAAGAAUGACUUGGCUAUUUUGGAAAAAGCCACCCUAGAGAGCACAUGCGGAGAACGGAUGGGAGCAUGAGAAUAGCACAGUGAUUUCUUUUGAAGGGAGGUUGAUGUCCAGCAAAGGGGGAGCUCUCGGUUUUUAAUUAUUGCACGAGUAUAGAUGUUGUCAUUUGGCCUUUUAAAGAAGAUAAUGCAAUUAUUAAUUGUAGCAACUCUCGGUUUUAAUUGCAAGUGCUGAUUUAAUCUUGUGAAGCAAGCAUGGUUCAUUUUGUUGUUCUGGAGAAAAGUGGUCCACGCUUCCAACCUUUAUCACUUUCAUUGGUUUUAUUAUUUUAUACAUUAGAAUG